Gavialis gangeticus (Gharial) is the source of this 740-nucleotide long non-coding RNA. RefSeq lists it as uncharacterized. Lineage: Eukaryota; Metazoa; Chordata; Crocodylia; Gavialidae. The record is from RefSeq and is a predicted model, not a curated record. The transcript is spliced from 5 exons.
GGCCCCGUGCACCGUUGCCCGACUCCUGCUCGGGACAGACGUGCGGUCACUGCUUGGCGCUGGGGAACGUGGGAGCGAAAGGCAGGCGCCAUCGGGGUGGUCCGCACCGGCCGUGUUGGGUGCACCGCCCUGUCAGACGGGCGCCCGUCGGGAAGCGGCGCGCGAGCUGCCGACUCUGUCCGCUGCUUCUGUGCGUUCUGGGGGCGCCCCGGUAGCAAGGCCCCACUCCCCAAGGAGUGCGCCUAGACAUGUGAGAGAGUGACGCCCUUGGUAAGGAUUAUGGUCACAAUAAUGACACAUUCGCCAGCUUUGUAAGAGGUGUGCUUCCCACGCGUGCUCCCAUGAGGUAUUGGCGUAUCCUGGGCUGAAAGAAGUGACAGGAGUCUGUUCUUCAAGCUACUGAUCAACUUUUUCUUCAGUGGAGUUCCUGUGCACAGUGCAGACUCCUUGCUCCAAAGAGCUUUCCAUCUCAUUUCAAACAGAAUGCAAGAAUACAAAAGAGAUAACACCUAAAUUUGAAUGAGAGACUUCCUCAACCACAGUGUGCACUUCAGGGACAGAGGACUCCUGGGAAGGGACAGUAUCCAUCUCACGCAGAGCAGAGAAAGCCAGUCAGAAGAAGGGGCUGGAAAAGGUUCUGGACACAAGGUCUACAGGAAGGCAGAGAGACAGUGUAAAGAAGAAUGCUUUAAUGAUUAUGUGAAUUUUCUAAUUGUAAUAAAGUUCUUUGUCCAGUGUUA